Long non-coding RNA from Saccostrea echinata, 176 nucleotides. RefSeq lists it as uncharacterized. The transcript has 3 exons. Lineage: Eukaryota; Metazoa; Mollusca; Bivalvia; Ostreida; Ostreidae. The record is from RefSeq and is a predicted model, not a curated record.
AAUAAACAAAGAGAUUGCGAGAUGUUGUUUACGUGUGUCACUCGACACUGACUGCAAGAAACAAAGAGUGGAGAGCUAAUGCAUGGUGCUAAGUAUGGAAAGGUCAGAAGUCUCGGUACACUUUAGGUGAGUGGCAGUUGGGUAGAUGGAUGACCUUCAGAUAGUUUGAGAUGAAG